RNAcentral lists this ribosomal RNA (537 nucleotides) under uncultured bacterium. RNAcentral describes it as "bacterial SSU rRNA". It matches the Rfam family "Bacterial small subunit ribosomal RNA", at positions 539 to 1074 of the family's 1533-position model. The record is from RNAcentral.
CGUUGUCCGGAUUAUUGGGCGUAAAGAGCUUGUAGGCGGUUUGUCGCGUCUGCUGUGAAAGGCCGGAGCUUAACUCCGUGUAUUGCAGUGGGUACGGGCAGACUAGAGUGCAGUAGGGGAGACUGGAAUUCCUGGUGUAGCGGUGGAAUGCGCAGAUAUCAGGAGGAACACCGAUGGCGAAGGCAGGUCUCUGGGCUGUAACUGACGCUGAGAAGCGAAAGCAUGGGGAGCGAACAGGAUUAGAUACCCUGGUAGUCCAUGCCGUAAACGUUGGGCACUAGGUGUGGGGAACAUUCCACGUUUUCCGCGCCGUAGCUAACGCAUUAAGUGCCCCGCCUGGGGAGUACGGCCGCAAGGCUAAAACUCAAAGAAAUUGACGGGGGCCCGCACAAGCGGCGGAGCAUGCGGAUUAAUUCGAUGCAACGCGAAGAACCUUACCAAGGCUUGACAUAUACUGGACCGCAUCAGAGAUGGUGUUUCCCUUCGGGGCUGGUAUACAGGUGGUGCAUGGUUGUCGUCAGCUCGUGUCGUGAGAAG